Molecule: ribosomal RNA, 445 nt
Filed under: uncultured Actinomycetes bacterium
Lineage: Bacteria; Bacillati; Actinomycetota; Actinomycetes
Description: bacterial SSU rRNA
Rfam family: Bacterial small subunit ribosomal RNA
Source: RNAcentral
GGGCCCGCACAAGCGGCGGAGCAUGCGGAUUAAUUCGAUGCAACGCGAAGAACCUUACCAAGGCUUGACAUACACGAGAACGGGCCAGAAAUGGUCAACUCUUUGGACACUCGUGAACAGGUGGUGCAUGGUUGUCGUCAGCUCGUGUCGUGAGAUGUUGGGUUAAGUCCCGCAACGAGCGCAACCCUCGUCGCAUGUUGCCAGCACGUUAUGGUGGGGACUCAUGUGAGACUGCCGGGGUCAACUCGGAGGAAGGUGGGGAUGACGUCAAAUCAUCAUGCCCCUUAUGUCUUGGGCUUCACGCAUGCUACAAGGGUGCCGGUACAAAGGGCUGCGAUGUCGUAAGGCGGAGCGAAUCCCAAAAAGCCGGUCUCAGUUCGGAUUGAGGUCUGCAACUCGACCUCAUGAAGUCGGAGUCGCUAGUAAUCGCAGAUCAGCAACGCUG